AUUCACUAGAUCAGCUUACACACUAAGGGCUAGGUAACCCAACAGUGGCUGUCUGCACCCCAGAGAGUCUGAGAACGCAAAAGCUACUCAUUCUGCAAAGCCAGGCGCCUCAUCAGCCCCACUCUGAUUCAGAAAACAGGAAGCAUCUCUUUCCAGAGAGCAGCUGGUCUUCGGUUCUUGCCCGCAGGCAUCAGUGGAAGGUGGAGAGGGCAACAAUAGACACUGAUGCACUUCCCUGGAUGAAGUGAAGUGGGGAAGGCCACAUUGCUUUUCCCUCAGCCCCUUUUACGUCUGGGACAUCCAUGGAAGGUUCUCCAGCUCCAAGAGAGGGUCUCUUCUCCUCAGUUCAUCCUUCUCGGAGAUCCUCACACAGCCUGCCCAGAGUUAUUUCUCUUACUUGCUUCCAGAUCUCCUCAGUCGGUGUUCAAGGUUGAGCAAGAACAGCGCAAAGCUGAGCUGUGAGAGCUGCCGGUGAUGUUUGUGGCUACGAUGCUAUCUUACUUCACAAAGAUCCGAGGCAAAGGGCUAAGGAUGUAAAUAAAGACAAUGACAGCGGCUCAUUCUUACAAGGAGAAUGGUGUUUAUUAUUACAAGGAUGGAGCCUUAAAUACCAAAGGCAGGUACCUCCUGGGAUCAAGCCCUGGCUUGAUACUGCUGCUGGAUGUCUCAUCCGUAAGACGAGGAGGAUAGUGAUGAUCAUACACACAUCACAGGACUGCUGUGACGACUCAGCGAGAUAAUCUGUGCUCACGGGUUGCCUUGAAUCUUGGGGGAGACUUUGCUCUGUAGACUUUUUGAACAACGUGAACAGUAUUAAGAAGGUAGACAGAAUGCAGUUUGCACUAUCAGAUGGUCAUAAUCCCUUGGUGGCCAGGUGGUGGGAACUUAGGAGUUGGAGUCCAGCUGACAGAGAUGGGUCACAGGCUGUGAACCUUUGAAGAUGAUGCUCACACCUGGUUUUGUUCCCUCAUCCUCUGCCUCCCACUGCAUGGUGUGUAUACAUUCCACCAUACUCGACCUCUGUCAUGUGUGGAUCACCCUGCUGUCUUGCCUUCUCUGCCAUGAUGAACUGUGACUGUCUAAAACCCUGAGAUUUCAAAGCUGGUGGAGCAAGCAGCUGUAAUGAGGCUCUGCCUCGUCACGUGCUGAAAGGGAGUUGACGUCGAUGGAAACACAUUUCCUUGUCUGCCACGCCUGACUAUGGCAUUCCAUUCUUCCCUUUACCAUGUGUAUAUAGAAUGUUCGUUUUAUUCCAGACUGUUGCCAUGUGUCUGUAGAAUAUCAAUUUCAUUCCAGACUGUUACCACGUAUCAAUAGAAUGUUCGUUUUGUCCCAAUUGUUAUCACAUUCUAUAGAUGUUCAUUUUGUCCCAAAUUGUUACCACAUUCUAUAGAAUGUUCAUUUUGUCU
Molecule: long non-coding RNA, 1409 nt
Organism: Mesocricetus auratus (golden hamster)
Lineage: Eukaryota; Metazoa; Chordata; Mammalia; Rodentia; Cricetidae
Exons: 6
Source: RefSeq, a predicted model, not a curated record